UAAUACGGAGGAUGCGAGCGUUAUCCGGAUUUAUUGGGUUUAAAGGGUGCGCAGGCGGGACCUUAAGUCAGCGGUGAAAUUUCAGGGCUUAACCCUGACACUGCCGUUGAAACUGGGAACCUUGAGUAUAGAUGAAGUAGGCGGAAUUCGUUGUGUAGCGGUGAAAUGCAUAGAUAUAACGAGGAACCCCGAUUGCGUAGGCAGCUUACUAAACUAUUACUGACGCUCAAGCACGAAAGCGUGGGUAUCAAACAGGAUUAGAUACCCUGGUAGUCCACGCAGUAAACGAUGAUUACUAGUUGUUUGCCAUAUACCGCAAGUGACCAAGCGAAAGCGAUAAGUAAUCCACCUGGGGAGUACGCCGGCAACGGUG
This 373-nucleotide ribosomal RNA is filed under the name uncultured bacterium. RNAcentral's name for it is "bacterial SSU rRNA". It matches the Rfam family "Bacterial small subunit ribosomal RNA", at positions 521 to 896 of the family's 1533-position model. The record is from RNAcentral.